RNAcentral lists this ribosomal RNA (614 nucleotides) under uncultured fungus. Its description in RNAcentral is "eukaryotic LSU rRNA". It matches the Rfam family "Eukaryotic large subunit ribosomal RNA", at positions 24 to 664 of the family's 3401-position model. Lineage: Eukaryota; Fungi. The record is from RNAcentral.
CCCGCUGAACUUAAGCAUAUCAAUAAGCGGAGGAAAAGAAACCAACAGGGAUUGCCUCAGUAACGGCGAGUGAAGCGGCAACAGCUCAAAUUUGAAAUCUGGCCUCUGGCCCGAGUUGUAAUUUGCAGAGGAUGCUUCGGGCGCGGUGCCUUCCAAGUCCCCUGGAACGGGGCGCCGGAGAGGGAGAGAGCCCCGUACGGUUGGCGGCCAAGCCUGUGUGAAGCUCCUUCGACGAGUCGAGUAGUUUGGGAAUGCUGCUCUAAGCGGGAGGUAGACCCCUUCUAAAGCUAAAUACCGGCCAGAGACCGAUAGCGCACAAGUAGAGUGAUCGAAAGAUGAAAAGCACUUUGAAAAGAGGGUUAAACAGCACGUGAAAUUGUUGAAAGGGAAGCGCUUGCGACCAGACGUGCGCCGGGGUGCUCAGCGGGCGUUCUCGCCCGUGCACUCGCCCCGGCGCAGGCCAGCGUCGGUUUGGGUGGGGGGAUAAAGGCGUCUGGAAUGUGGCUCCUCCGGGAGUGUUAUAGCCAGGCGUGCCAUGCCUCCGCCUAGACCGAGGUACGCGUUCUGCAAGGACGCUGGCGUAAUGGUCUCCAGCGACCCGUCUUGAAACACGG